AAUGGUGUUGCUAUAAGGUUUGACCCUUUGAUAACUCUUGGUGGAUUAAGUGUCCCUAAUCAAGACAUCCAUUUUAGAUUACAUUCAAAGGAUCUUGUUUGUGUAUUAUUUUGAAUACUGUGAGACCUGGCUAUUCCCGGACAGUGGCUGAAAUGGCUUUCCAAGUAUGGGGCCUUCAGACUGCACCCUAGAUCUAAGACCUAGGAGCCUGCCUCAGUCUGAGAAGUUUCUCAAAAAAAAAAAAAGGAGGGGGCAUUACUUCCCAAUUAACUCAAUUAACUUCUUCUGGUGUUUAAGAAGCUACCAGGAAAUUAACCAAAUAAGGUCUCCUGCCUACUGUCUAUGUCUGAGGAACUCCGGGCCCUGGAAGUGAUUUCUUAAAGAAUGUACUAACCAACCUCAGGACUGCAAUUAGGUUCUACCAAGGAGAGGAAUGACAUCAGAGAAGGAGCCAUCUGUUUCCUGCUGAGCCCCCAACAGAGACACUUUCCAAUCAAGAAUGUACUGCAGCGAAUUCAAGAAGUACCAGUGUGGAACAUUAUAAGUGCCUCUGGGAGCAUCAACAGAAUAUUCAACAGAAUUUUCAUUUGUGAAUAUGGCUCGCACCAACAAAGGUACAGGGUCUCUCACUGAACCCAGGACAAGGCAGCCAUCUUCCAUCGAUGGGAUGGAGUUAACAAGCAGGUGUGUGUGUGACCACACCGGGUUUUCCCACGGGUGCUGAUGACUUGAACUCAGGGCCUUCAACUUGUCUAAAAGUAUCCUCCCACUUCUCGUGAUCUGUGGGAAAGAAUACAAAGUGUGAACAGAUAAGGAAAAUACACAAAGAAAUACAAAGUAGCAAGCCCAGCUCAGAAAAGUCCCAUGCUGCCAAAUGGUCAGGAAGGUUUAAUUUUGUCCAAAAAAAAAAAAAGUCUGAAAAGCUGUAACAAAGCCCAAAAGCCAAGGUGCCACAUGUAGGCUGCAGAUGUGAACAGCGGCAGAAACCGUCCUUUCUCUGGGUUGAUGUAAAAAGACAACCCAAGAGUCUCACCGAGGCACACGCAAAACCAGCCAGGAAUGACGCUUUGAAGCCAUCCUUUAAAUGAACUGUCUCGGUGUCCUACAGUUCAUCAAAGGUUUCCUGUCUCUGAAAGGUCAGCCUCAUAUCCCUUACCCUUUCUGAAUCUCAGUCUCCUUUCAGCUCUUCACUGACAAACGGCGAGCAGGGGCCUCUUCGUCCUAACAAUCUCGAUUGCACAGUUCACAGAUUCUUAAGAUAAAUCACUACGCGAAUAUCAUAUACAGUCUUUGGUCUGUCUCACGGGUCUAUGUUAAAAAAUAAAAAUAAAAACCAAUACUUUUGUAAUAGCGAGGGGGUGUUGAAACCCUGAUUAAAUAAAGUGAGGUUAAAAACUCGGGAAGACA
RNAcentral lists this small RNA (1407 nucleotides) under Rattus norvegicus (Norway rat). Its description in RNAcentral is "uncharacterized LOC102555516". The record is from RNAcentral. Lineage: Eukaryota; Metazoa; Chordata; Mammalia; Rodentia; Muridae.